This 358-nucleotide ribosomal RNA is filed under the name uncultured bacterium. RNAcentral describes it as "bacterial SSU rRNA". It matches the Rfam family "Bacterial small subunit ribosomal RNA", at positions 28 to 412 of the family's 1533-position model. The record is from RNAcentral.
GAUGAACGCUGGCGGUAUGCUUAACACAUGCAAGUCGAACGGAAGUCUUCGGACUUUAGUGGCGGACGGGUGAGUAACGCGUGAGAAUCUGGCUUCAGGUCGGGGACAACAGUUGGAAACGACUGCUAAUACCGGAUGUGCCUAAGGGUAAAAGAUUAAUUGCCUGGAGAUGAGCUCGCGUCCGAUUAGCUAGUUGGUGGGGUAACGGCACACCAAGGCAAUGAUCUGUAGCUAGGUCUGAGAGGAUGAUCAGCCACACUGGGACUGAGACACGGCCCAGACUCCUACGGGAGGCAGCAGUGGGGAAUAUUGGACAAUGGGCGAAAGCCUGAUCCAGCAAUGCCGCGUGAGUGAUGAA